This 513-nucleotide ribosomal RNA is filed under the name uncultured bacterium. Its description in RNAcentral is "partial 16S ribosomal RNA". The record is from RNAcentral.
GGAGUUAGCCGGUGCUUCUUCUGCGAGUAACGUCACAGAUGUAAGGUAUUAACUUACACCCUUUCCUCCUCGCUGAAAGUGCUUUACAACCCGAAGGCCUUCUUCACACACGCGGCAUGGCUGCAUCAGGGUUUCCCCCAUUGUGCAAUAUUCCCCACCUGCUGCCUCCCGUAGGAGUCUGGGCCGUGUCUCAGUCCCACGUGUGGCUGAUCAUCCUCUCAGACCAGCUAGGGAUCGUCGCCUAGGUGAGCCUUUACCUCACCUACUAGCUAAUCCCACCUGGGCUUAUCCAUCAGCGCAAGGCCCGAAGGUCCCCUGCUUUCCCCCGUAGGGCGUAUGCGGUAUUAGCAGUCGUUUCCAACUGUUAUCCCCCACAAAUGGGCAAAUUCCCAGGCAUUACUCACCCGUCCGCCGCUCGUCAUCUUCAAAAGCAAGCUUUUGAAAUGUUACCGCUCGACUUGCAUGUGUUAGGCCUGCCGCCAGCGUUCAAUCUGAGCCAGAAUCAAACUCUGA